CCUACGGGAGGCAGCAGUAAGGAAUAUUGGACAAUGGACGCAAGUCUGAUCCAGCCAUGCCGCGUGAAGGAUUAAGGCCCUCUGGGUUGUAAACUUCUUUUAUAGGGGACGAAAAAAGGGCUUUCUAGCUCGACUGACGGUACCCUAUGAAUAAGCACCGGCUAACUCCGUGCCAGCAGCCGCGGUAAUACGGAGGGUGCAAGCGUUAUCCGGAUUCACUGGGUUUAAAGGGUGCGUAGGCGGGCAGUUAAGUCAGUGGUGAAAUCUCUGGGCUCAACCCGGAAACUGCCAUUGAUACUAUCUGUCUUGAAUAUUGUGGAGGUGAGCGGAAUAUGUCAUGUAGCGGUGAAAUGCUUAGAUAUGACAUAGAACACCGAUUGCGUAGGCAGCUCGCUACACAUAUAUUGACGCUGAGGCACGAAAGCGUGGGGAUCAAACAGGAUUAGAUACCCUGGUAGUCCACGCCCUAAACUAUGAUUACUCGACAUAUGCGAUACACUGUAUGUGUCUGAGCGAAAGCAUUAAGUAAUCCACCUGGGAAGUACGACCGCAAGGUUGAAACUUAAAGGAAUUGACGG
RNAcentral lists this ribosomal RNA (578 nucleotides) under uncultured bacterium. RNAcentral describes it as "bacterial SSU rRNA". It matches the Rfam family "Bacterial small subunit ribosomal RNA", at positions 338 to 916 of the family's 1533-position model. The record is from RNAcentral.